GGAUAUAGUCUGAAAUCCUGAUGGAAAUAACAGUGAAUAGCUCAUCAGCCUCCAGGAAGAUGAAUCUGAAACAUUUUCUGAGACAAAGACAAAUCAGUAUUGUUGAACUGCCCAUUGCCACUCCAGAUGAAACAAGAUCGAAUGCUGAAGCCUAUUAAACUGCAAUGCUGUCACUGAAGCCUGUUGUUUCUGUUAGCCCUGAUAUCUUGCCUUUGCAAAUGGCACAUUCAGUGUGAAGAAUGAGUCCAAAUCUCCAUACAGAACUGAGUGUGAUUCCACUGGGAAACUGGCAGAUUUUGCAGUUUACAAAAUAGAAACCUGUGGAGAUGAAACCACUGAAUACAGCUCCAUUUGCCUUCUGGACUUCUCUGAUGAAAUCCCAAAGGAGGAACUAGAAAGUGCUACAUGGUUUCAGAGUUCUCUUCUGCAGACAAAGGCAUCCCUGACAGACAAUUCAAACUUGGAUAUUCAACACCAGGCAUGUGCAACAGUGAGAACUGGAUUUUUGUUCUUGUUCCUCAUUCGCAUAUAAUUCCCUGCACAUUCAGAGGAUUACACACUGUUUAUGCAUCAUGCAAUCUCACUGAGUCCUGUUUCUUUACAGUACUUACUCCUGCUGCUAAAGGGAAAAUAGGCUCUAACAAUCCUCUUUUCGUGCCAAAGCUGCUGCUACUGAAUGAACACAUCCUGCCUGCAGUAGUCUGAUUGAUCCCUGCGAUCCCUGUAUCCAACAGAAGUUCAAAAGGAUUCUGCUGCUCAAAGGACUAAAAUUGGUAUUCGUUUAAGAUUUACUGGCAAACUAAAGCUCCUUCAUGUAACAGCAGAUGCCGUUCUGCCUUUCAACUCCACAGCACACCAAAGUGGCAUCGAACAAGUUCAAACUUUGGAUGGCCUUGACAACGUACUACACCUUAAGACUGCCAUUUCCUAGCUCAGAAUCCUCUUUAGCUCACGAGCAAUAGCUAACAUCACUGAACUUAGACACAGCUCGCAGCUCCACUCUGAAGCAGGACACAUAUAUCUGGAACCUGCUCAAAAUAAUAAAUUCUAAAUAAUUUAGCGCACGGUAGCGCUUUACACAGCUACUGUUAAGUCUACCUUUGCAGCCUGUCAAACCCCAUUGCCUUUAAAAGCUCAGUCCUGCUGCUAUGAACUACAAUUCAUACAUCCUUACAACCCCUUGCAGUGCUUGGG
Melopsittacus undulatus (budgerigar) is the source of this 1194-nucleotide long non-coding RNA. RefSeq lists it as uncharacterized. The transcript has 4 exons. The record is from RefSeq and is a predicted model, not a curated record. Lineage: Eukaryota; Metazoa; Chordata; Aves; Psittaciformes; Psittaculidae.